AACAAUACCACUCUUCUCCCUAUCUCCGAUUAGAUAGCCAAGAGCUAAUGUUGACUGUCUACCACCUAUCUGAAGACUCCACCUCAAACUGAGUUUCCACCAAAGUAUACCACCAUGAUCUCCACCUUGUAACACGCAAGACCUCUUCAACUCCUCUGAAACAUACUUCAAGUUAUUGUUAGUCCAACAAUUCCAGUUCAGUUCAACACCUAGUAAACCUUGUUCACUAGUCCAACUAAACUCAUGUCACUAACAGGUCCACCCGAAGUCCCGCAACUCAACCACAUUAUGAGAGUCACCACUAGUUAUAGAUGCAUGACCAACUAUCUUUGCAUCUAAGUUCAGAAACAUACCUCACAUUGUGUAAAGAAACUCACGAUUGUCAAACUUCGUAAGACAAACUGAACCCAUACCUUGAACCUUCAAGCUUUCCGUUUUCAAGAUGAACAACUCCACCUUCAACUAGCUCUAGAGUCUCAAAGUAUUCAUUCUUUGAACACAUGUGAAAAGAGCAUCCGACGUCCAUGACUCAACACUCCACCGGUUCCCAACUUCCACUAGCACCUCCGCAUCCUCAUAAUAAAGUUAUUGUUUCAGAAGUAACCAGAGUAUUAUUACCACCGCCUCUCCAGGCCGACCUUCUUCGCAAUCUCCAUUAACUCUUUAUCUUCGAGGCACCGGGUAACGACACUCNNNNNNNNNNNNNNNNNNNNUUCACUUUCCACAAUUCCAAAUUGCUUUCGGAAAGUCCUCGAUAUCCGACUUAUAACCCAUGGUGCUCGCUUCAAAUUGUUCCAAUUGCCCCACGGUGGGCGCCAAUUGUUGUGAAUUCGUCUUAAAAUCACACCAAUGAAUAACUUGAUGUGUGGAGCAAUAGAACAGCAACCAAUAAUUAAGCAGAAUAAGCAAUAAUAAUAAUAACCGAUAAAAGAUAAAGGAGAAGAAAGAACACGAUAAUUUGUUUACCCAGUUCGGUCCAAUAAUGACCUAGUCUGG
RNAcentral lists this long non-coding RNA (996 nucleotides) under Trifolium pratense (red clover). RNAcentral describes it as "long non-coding RNA (TPRA_LNC014201)". The record is from RNAcentral. Lineage: Eukaryota; Viridiplantae; Streptophyta; Magnoliopsida; Fabales; Fabaceae.